This 497-nucleotide ribosomal RNA is filed under the name uncultured bacterium. Its description in RNAcentral is "partial 16S ribosomal RNA". It matches the Rfam family "Bacterial small subunit ribosomal RNA", at positions 28 to 507 of the family's 1533-position model. The record is from RNAcentral.
GAUGAACGCUGGCGGCGUGCCUAAUACAUGCAAGUCGAGCGAACGGACGAGAAGCUUGCUUCUCUGAUGUUAGCGGCGGACGGGUGAGUAACACGUGGAUAACCUACCUAUAAGACUGGGAUAACUUCGGGAAACCGGAGCUAAUACCGGAUAAUAUUUUGAACCGCAUGGUUCAAAAGUGAAAGAGGGUCUUGCUGUCACUUAUAGAUGGAUCCGCGCUGCAUUAGCUAGUUGGUAAGGUAACGGCUUACCAAGGCAACGAUGCAUAGCCGACCUGAGAGGGUGAUCGGCCACACUGGAACUCAGAAACGGACCAGACUCCUACGGGAGGCAGCAGUAGGGAAUCUUCCGCAAAGGGCGAAAGCCUGACGGAGCAACGCCGCGUGAGUGAUGAAGGUCUUCGGAUCGUAAAACUCUGUUAUUAGGGAAGAACAUAUGUGUAAGUAACUGUGCACAUCUUGACGGUACCUAAUCAGAAAGCCACGGCUAACUACGUG